Centrocercus urophasianus (Greater sage-grouse) is the source of this 492-nucleotide long non-coding RNA. RefSeq lists it as uncharacterized. Lineage: Eukaryota; Metazoa; Chordata; Aves; Galliformes; Phasianidae. The transcript is spliced from 3 exons. The record is from RefSeq and is a predicted model, not a curated record.
AGCAACUUAUCAUACCUACCAUCAUUGUUAGUUUCAGCCUGGCACUCUAUUUACAAAACUACUUGCGUUCUGUUUUUAGCCUUUUCAUCCUGGCAGGAAGGACUACCAUACCUUCUUCCUUCUGAAUCAGCUUGGUCUACAUGAUAAUUUUCUUGUCUCUAGACUUUCAGAAAGGGAAAAGAAAGCAAUUAUCUUCACUCAACUGACAUGAAUUUUGAGGCUCUUUAAGCUAUCUGUUCAACUGCUUGGCCUGUCCACACAGCUUUCCAAGACAACCAAACUGAAGAUAGGAUGCUUAGUGCUGUACCAGUAUGUGUCUGAAGACCUACAAAAAAGGGCUGAUGAAACUCUACCAAGAGAUCACCGCUCUGUUUUGAAUCCUGUGAGUGGACAAGCACAGCCUCACAGAACUUGUGUAAAUGAAGAACAGGCAAUCUGAUGCAGAGCUAUGGCAGGCUAUGUCGUUUGGAGUGGAAUAAGCAUCUCAGGUAA